CCUAGUGUUGGAGCCCUCUUUUAUGUUCAACCUUUUUUUUUUGGUUAAAACUUUAUGACUCCAUAACUUUUAGGCCGUGAGGCCAAACUUGGCAUGGUAUACCUUUUCGGAAAGCCCAAAGACAGCCCUCCGACGAAGGAAGCAGGACAAUGGAAUCUUUCCAUUGACUUUUUGUCGACCCCAAAUUUUGACCUUUAAGUACUUUU
RNAcentral lists this ribosomal RNA (206 nucleotides) under Arabidopsis thaliana (thale cress). The record is from RNAcentral. Lineage: Eukaryota; Viridiplantae; Streptophyta; Magnoliopsida; Brassicales; Brassicaceae.